UCUAUGUAAAAAAUGAAAUUUGUGUUCGAAACGCUAAAUGUUUUAAAAUGUUUUUGAAACAGUACCCGUUGAAGUAUUCGUGCUAUUUAGGUAGAGAGAGUAAAUGCUUUAAGAAGAAGAAUUAACAAGGAAAAAUUAGAGGGAAGUAUGAUUUAUAAGCCUACAUAUUUUGAUUAUAAACAAAUCCAUUACUGGGGCUUAAGUUUUGUGCAUCAUCUUUUGCCGCCGCCGCUGCAAUCUCCGCUACUGAGCCGCAGAAGUGGUAGUGGGAAUAGUGGUAAUGAUGAAAGUAGAGAUUUUAUAUAUUUUUUAUUUACUCCCAAUUUAUAUUAAUUAUAUGUUGUUUACAUAUUUGUCGCCAUUUAAUUGCAGAUUGUGUAUUUAAUUUUUAUUUGACUACAUUGGCUUAAUUUAUUAACUAGGAAUUGCAAGCUGGAGAAAACUAGUUCAUGUGUUUAAGGUUAUGUUAUUAACAAUUUCAAGCUUUGUAGUGUUGUGAAUGAUAAGAAGAGUAAUUUGAAAA
Molecule: long non-coding RNA, 523 nt
Organism: Mercurialis annua (annual mercury)
Lineage: Eukaryota; Viridiplantae; Streptophyta; Magnoliopsida; Malpighiales; Euphorbiaceae
Exons: 2
Source: RefSeq, a predicted model, not a curated record